RNAcentral lists this ribosomal RNA (278 nucleotides) under uncultured Staphylococcus sp. RNAcentral describes it as "partial 16S ribosomal RNA". It matches the Rfam family "Bacterial small subunit ribosomal RNA", at positions 83 to 354 of the family's 1533-position model. The record is from RNAcentral. Lineage: Bacteria; Bacillati; Bacillota; Bacilli; Caryophanales; Staphylococcaceae.
CCUUUGACGUUAGCGGCGGACGGGUGAGUAACACGUGGGUAACCUACCUAUAAGACUGGGAUAACUUCGGGAAACCGGAGCUAAUACCGGAUAAUAUUUCGAACCGCAUGGUUCGAUAGUGAAAGANGGUUUUGCUAUCACUUAUAGAUGGACCCGCGCCGUAUUAGCUAGUUGGUAAGGUAACGGCUUACCAAGGCGACGAUACGUAGCCGACCUGAGAGGGUGAUCGGCCACACUGGAACUGAGACACGGUCCAGACUCCUACGGGAGGCAGCAGA